RNAcentral lists this ribosomal RNA (499 nucleotides) under uncultured bacterium. RNAcentral's name for it is "partial 16S ribosomal RNA". It matches the Rfam family "Bacterial small subunit ribosomal RNA", at positions 28 to 507 of the family's 1533-position model. The record is from RNAcentral.
GACGAACGCUGGCGGCGUGCCUAAUACAUGCAAGUCGAGCGGACUUUCAAGAAGCUUGCUUUUUGAAAGUUAGCGGCGGACGGGUGAGUAACACGUGGGCAACCUGCCUGCAAGACGGGGAUAACUCCGGGAAACCGGGGCUAAUACCGGAUAAUAUCUUCCUUCGCAUGAAGGAAGGUUGAAAGGCGGCGCAAGCUGCCGCUUGCAGAUGGGCCCGCGGCGCAUUAGCUAGUUGGUGAGGUAACGGCUCACCAAGGCGACGAUGCGUAGCCGACCUGAGAGGGUGAUCGGCCACACUGGGACUGAGACACGGCCCAGAAUCCUACGGGAGGCAGCAGUAGGGAAUCUUCCGCAAUGGACGAAAGUCUGACGGAGCAACGCCGCGUGAGCGAAGAAGGUCUUCGGAUCGUAAAGCUCUGUUGUCAGGGAAGAACAAGUACCGUUCGAACAGGGCGGUACCUUGACGGUACCUGACCAGAAAGCCACGGCUAACUACGUG